CCUACGGGAGGCUGCAGUGGGGAAUAUUGCACAAUGGGCGCAAGCCUGGUGCAGCCAUGCCGCGUGUGUGAAGAAGGCCUUCGGGUUGUAAAGCACUUUCAGCGGGGAGGAAGGCGUUAAGGUUAAUAACCUUGUCGAAUGACGGUACCCGCAGAAGAAGCACCGGCUAACUCCGUGCCAGCAACCGCGGUAAUACGGAGGGUGCAAGCGUUAAUCGGAAUUACUGGGCGUAAAGCGCACGCAGGCGGUCUGUCAAGUCGGAUGUGAAAUCCCCGGGCUCAACCUGGGAACUGCAUUCGUAACUGGCAGGCUAGAGUCUUGUAGAGGGGGGUAGAAUUCCAGGUGUAGCGGUGAAAUGCGUAGAGAUCUGGAGGAACACCGGUGGCGAAGGCGGCCCCCUGGACAAAGACUGACGCUCAGGUGCGAAAGCGUGGGGAGCAAACAGGAUUAGAUACCCGAGUAGUC
This 465-nucleotide ribosomal RNA is filed under the name uncultured Klebsiella sp. Its description in RNAcentral is "bacterial SSU rRNA". It matches the Rfam family "Bacterial small subunit ribosomal RNA", at positions 338 to 795 of the family's 1533-position model. The record is from RNAcentral. Lineage: Bacteria; Pseudomonadati; Pseudomonadota; Gammaproteobacteria; Enterobacterales; Enterobacteriaceae.